CCUUGGGCCUGGCUUUUCGCGUUCUUCGGACUAGCCGGAGGCUCAGGUUGGUGACCAAGCGGCAAAGUUCCUAGCGCCUGUAGUGUGAACUCCAACUUUUAGGCCAAGUUGAAAAUGCAGCCGACGGCCCCCACACUUCUAACUUCAGAAACAGAACUUCAUGACCCUAGGGAGUGAGGAGGAGAGUGAAAAAUGCAUAAGUGCUGGCUCCUCCCUUACCCUUCGCUGCCUCGCAGCCUUGUUUCUAUAUUCUCACCGGGAGCUUUGGACUUUGAAAGGAUGAGGAGAAUGGGGGAGAGGAAGAGCGUGGCUUUGCCAGCUCCCUGCAGCAAUACAGCAACUUAGAAAUGGCGGGGUCAACGAAAAAAACCCGAGUAAGAGCUGUGAUGGGAACGUUGCCCAGGUGAGAAGCAGAAGCACGAUAAGUAAUCCACCAAAACAUGAGCAGCCUGUUGGAACACUGGAAUAUGAAAUACGUCUGCCAGUACUUGCUGCCCUGUUUGCAUGUAGUGUUGGAGAUACCCCAUGAACACAGAAUUCCAAGAGACCCAGUGGUGCCUAGAAGUUUAAUGAGACUCACAGCUAGCACAAGGUAAGCAUGUUACAGCUAAGUCUGAGUAAACAUAAAUACUGAUAACCUCUUGAGGGUAUGUUUUUUAUUUGAAUGAGAGUUGUUUCUAAUGCAAAAAGAAGACAAUGGCAUUCUAAGAAACACGAAUGAGCAAGGAAUCCUGUGAUAUCCUUUCUUAUUCCCGUUGUUUCCUGGUAUUACACAGCUGGUUUUGCUGAAAGUAAUGACGCCAUAAGUCAAAGGUAGAGAGUGUUGGUAGAAUGUGUUAGUAGACUUGAAAUUAAAAAUUGAGUGAAUUUUGUGUAGUGUGUCCACUGUUCUGGUAAGAAUAAAAUAUAUAUGCAUGUAUGAACCACAAAAUAAGAAUUUUGUGAUUUUGGUGAUUCUACAUAGGAGUUAAAUGUACAUGUUUCUAUUUAAAGCUAGCAUUAUGCAAUAU
This is a non-coding RNA of Macaca mulatta (Rhesus monkey), 1010 nucleotides long. The record is from RefSeq and is a predicted model, not a curated record. NCBI's taxonomy places the organism in Eukaryota, Metazoa, Chordata, Mammalia, Primates, Cercopithecidae.